UCCCUCUCAUAUAAAGCUAAAUUCUUUCCUUCUUCCUUCCUCAGAAGAAAAAAGAAAAGAAAAGAAAUAUAUGCCCAGAAUUAAGAAAUGAGAAAUUUUUUCCUGUACGAGGAGGAUUUCUGCAGCGACUUCCAUCAUCGAAACUGGUGCAAAUAGAAAAUGGAGUUGGGUAAGCUACUAUUACCUUCACAUCUUUUCCCAACCCUUCACUCUCCCAUCUUUAUGUCAAAUCAAGAAAUAUUUUACCACCAAAUUCUUCAAGUUUCAACUUUGAAGCAGUAGUAACAUGAUGUUUCAUCAAAACCCGGAGUCAAUAUUUGAUUUUUUUCCCCUGUUCGAAGUUGGUAUUUGUUAAAUUAAAGCAGGUUUCUUGUAAGUGCAACCAAGGUUAUGGUUCACCUCCAUGUAUGAGUUGGUUGGGUUGGAUCUCAAAGAAUGUGGGGAAAAAUGGUUUCUUGAGAG
Molecule: long non-coding RNA, 462 nt
Filed under: Panax ginseng (ginseng)
Lineage: Eukaryota; Viridiplantae; Streptophyta; Magnoliopsida; Apiales; Araliaceae
Description: long non-coding RNA (PGIN_LNC009144)
Source: RNAcentral